RNAcentral lists this transfer RNA (84 nucleotides) under Candidatus Omnitrophota bacterium. RNAcentral's name for it is "Candidatus Omnitrophica bacterium tRNA-Leu". It matches the Rfam family "tRNA". Rfam says of the family: Transfer RNA (tRNA) molecules are approximately 80 nucleotides in length. Their secondary structure includes four short double-helical elements and three loops (D, anti-codon, and T loops). The record is from RNAcentral. RNAcentral also lists the same sequence under 1 other name. Lineage: Bacteria; Pseudomonadati; Candidatus Omnitrophota.
GCCAGGGUGGCGGAAUUGGCAGACGCGCGUGACUCAAAAUCACGUCUCCGCAAGGAGGUGCGGGUUCGAGUCCCGCCCCUGGCA